UGCCGCGAAGUACAUCACGUGGAUGUU
Molecule: small RNA, 27 nt
Filed under: Bombyx mori (domestic silkworm)
Lineage: Eukaryota; Metazoa; Arthropoda; Insecta; Lepidoptera; Bombycidae
Description: ovarian small RNA-33779
Source: RNAcentral